This 449-nucleotide ribosomal RNA is filed under the name uncultured bacterium. RNAcentral describes it as "partial 16S ribosomal RNA". It matches the Rfam family "Bacterial small subunit ribosomal RNA", at positions 29 to 523 of the family's 1533-position model. The record is from RNAcentral.
AACGAACGCUGGCGGCAGGCUUAACACAUGCAAGUCGAACGAGAUCUUCGGAUCUAGUGGCAGACGGGUGAGGAACACGUGGGAACAUCCCUUUCAGUUCGGAAUAACGUUGGGAAACUAACGCUAAUACCGGAUACGUCCUUCGGGAGAAAGAUUUAUCGCUGAAAGAUUGGCCCGCGUCUGAUUAGCUAGUUGGUGAGGUAAUGGCUCACCAAGGCUACGAUCAGUAGCUGAUCUGAGAGGAUGAUCAGCCACAUUGGGACUGAGACACGGCCCAAACUCCUACGGGAGGCAGCAGUGGGGAAUAUUGGACAAUGGGCGCAAGCCUGAUCCAGCCAUGCCGCGUGAGUGAUGACGGCCUUCGGGUUGUAAAGCUCUUUUAUCCGGGACGAUAAUGACGGUACCGGAGGAAUAAGCCCCGGCUAACUUCGUGCCAGCCGCCGCCGUAA